Molecule: transfer RNA, 75 nt
Filed under: Botrimarina hoheduenensis
Lineage: Bacteria; Pseudomonadati; Planctomycetota; Planctomycetia; Pirellulales; Lacipirellulaceae
Also listed under: 1 other name
Description: Planctomycetes bacterium Pla111 tRNA-Arg
Rfam family: tRNA
About the family: Transfer RNA (tRNA) molecules are approximately 80 nucleotides in length. Their secondary structure includes four short double-helical elements and three loops (D, anti-codon, and T loops). Further hydrogen bonds mediate the characteristic L-shaped molecular structure. tRNAs have two regions of fundamental functional importance: the anti-codon, which is responsible for specific mRNA codon recognition, and the 3' end, to which the tRNAs corresponding amino acid is attached (by aminoacyl-tRNA synthetases). tRNAs cope with the degeneracy of the genetic code in two manners: having more than one tRNA (with a specific anti-codon) for a particular amino acid; and 'wobble' base-pairing, i.e. permitting non-standard base-pairing at the 3rd anti-codon position.
Source: RNAcentral
GGCCCCGUGGCGCAACUGGAUAGCGCGUCGGCCUCCGAAGCCGAAGGUUGCUGGUUCGAAUCCAGCCGGGGUCAC